This 468-nucleotide ribosomal RNA is filed under the name uncultured bacterium. RNAcentral's name for it is "partial 16S ribosomal RNA". It matches the Rfam family "Bacterial small subunit ribosomal RNA", at positions 28 to 507 of the family's 1533-position model. The record is from RNAcentral.
GACGAACGCUGGCGGCGUGCUUAACACAUGCAAGUCGAACGGAAAGGCCCUGCUUUUGUGGGGUGCUCGAGUGGCGAACGGGUGAGUAACACGUGAGUAACCUGCCCUUGACUUUGGGAUAACUUCAGGAAACUGGGGCUAAUACCGGAUAGGAGCUCCUGCUGCAUGGUGGGGGUUGGAAAGUUUCGGCGGUUGGGGAUGGACUCGCGGCUUAUCAGCUUGUUGGUGGGGUAGUGGCUUACCAAGGCUUUGACGGGUAGCCGGCCUGAGAGGGUGACCGGCCACAUUGGGACUGAGAUACGGCCCAGACUCCUACGGGAGGCAGCAGUGGGGAAUAUUGCACAAUGGGCGGGAGGCUGAUGCAGCAACGCCGAGUGCGGGAUGACGGCCUUCGGGUUGUAAACCGUUUUCGCCUGUGACGAAGCGUGAGUGACGGUAAUGGGUAAAGAAGCACCGGCUAACUACGUG